AAAGCGAUGAAGCUGAUGCACUGUACUUGCCUGGUGUUGUCGAAGCCGAUGAUGCGGACAUAGGCGCCAGGGUAUUCCUUCUUGACCUCCUCCAACUCCUUGAGCACCUGCGUGGCGUCAGUGCACCCGAACAUGGGAAGCUUCCACAUUGUCCAGUACCUCCCGUCCUAGUACCCUGGGGAGUUGCCGUGCUCACGGAAGACGAAACCGACCUUGCUGAACUCGAGGCAAGGAACCCAUUUGGAGCGGAUGAGAUACUCGAUCUGCUUCAGGAGGGACUCCACGGUGAGAGGUGGCAGGUAGGAAAGGGUCUCGAACUUCUUGAUGCCCUCAAUUGGCCACACCUGCAAUUAGAUUAAAAUUAGCACACAAAGUGUGAUUUGAGACACAUAUCGAUGGAGUAUUUCACUUCACACAUAUCGGUAUGAUGAUAUACAUACCUGCAUGCUCGUGAUCCUGCCACCGUUGGAGACGCUGCCGAGGCCAGCGCCGGCAGAGCGGCGGCUGACGGGGAGCCCGGCGGUGGACUUGAGGCCCCGGAAAGGAGCAACAGCGGUAGCCGCCGCCGACAUCACUGUCGGACCCAUAGCAUCCACCCUUGUAUCACUAGAGUAUAUCUACUUAGCUAAUAUGCUAAGUUUGGCACGGAGAGAGGAGGUCGAGUGGACUUCAUUCCUGGUCACAAGGGUUUAUAUAUACCAUAUAACAUACGAGCAAUUUGUGAUUAAUUUGUUGUCGUUCUAGGAGAUGUGGAAAGGGUGGAUGCCGUUCGUUGGUUGCCUUAUCCGUUCUAGAGAAGGGAUGGAUGACCGACGCUCGCUCAGCCGUCUCCUUCGUCCAUCGUUGCCAAUCUUUCUAGCUAUAAUUGGAAGUUCCAAAGGAACAUACGGUUUCAUGCCUACUUCCAUCGGCCUAUCAUGUACCAAUCCAAUAAAAGGACAUCGUUCAACCAUCAAUCCAUGUGUGUGUAGUAAGUGAUUGGCUACGAACCUUCAGCUGACUUGCUUUAUUGGAUAUUUCUGUAAAGCGAGUCCACGGUGUGUGGGUUUAAAAUCUCGUGGCGGCAACUGUUGACGGGUGCAAAUAUCAGUAGCCUUAAAACAAUAAACUUUACUCCGUCCCUUCCGAAAUGCAAGAAUGUCCUAAGUCAAACUUCUUAUGCUGCAGGACCAUAGUUUUUGAGGUGUUCUUCUCACGAGUCCACGAAGAACGGGAAUUUUUUGGUGUCGGGUAAGGGCGGGGGAAUAUAUAGAUGCUAGCAUCAGCAUGACGGGCUAACGGGUCAGGUAGGAUUUUGGACGACGUAGCACCUGACAUGUGGGGGCCACAUGUAAGAAAACCUGUCAAAAUGUCAUAACCCUCUGUUUUGGUCAACUUGAUACAAUCUGAUACAAAACGUGUGGUUUUCCUGACAAAUUAGCAAAUUUUGUGUCUCUGUGAGAAGCACGCCCCAAAAACUGUGGUUCCGUGAAAUUUAUUCACUAGUUACACUUUAUCUACAAACAUCUACGAUUCUAAAAUAGUUUGGUAUAUAUUUUCCGUAAUAUAAUUAUUUGAUAUUCUAAAUUCGGGGAUUUGUUCUUAUAAACUUGGUCGAAGUUUAAAAAGUUUGACUUCGGACAAAGUUACGACUUUUUACAUUUAGGAAUGAAGGGAAUACAUUUUAGUAAAGCAAUUGAGGAAUUGACAGAAUUAAAUAUCUUAAAUUAUACUGGUCCAUCGUGUACUCAUGGCAACAAAAUAAAUUUAUAGUCGAAAAGUUGGACCAUGAAAACUUAAAACGUGAUACAUUAAAAUUGUUGAAUCACUCUACAUCUUGUAAUUUUCUCUUGCAACCUUCUGGCGCGCUACUCAUUCCACAUUUGGUACUAUAUGUAUAAAUGUAUAUAUAUACCGCAUUAGGAGCCUCUAUUACUGUUUUAGUAUAAAUAGCAGUUUCCAUCGACUAUGCACUUCAUUAACUUUUUCUUCACGAGAUAACUUGCUUAUCGAUUUUCUUUAAUUAUCCAGAUGGCUUCUACUAGUUUGUUUCCUUGCUUACUGGGAUUUCCGCAGACUUUACGGUUAGGUAUUAUUGUCGUGUGGACAACACGGUGGCCGGAUGUUGAGAUGAUGAUGUCCUUUAUCUCCGUGUUGCUUCUGAGGACUGCGGAUCCGAGGCUAGUGGCGGUAUGGGAUGCCUCUCUACCUCUUGAUCAGGUCAAUCCGGCUCAGCAAGAGGCGGAUCGAUGGUGGCCGGUGUGACUAGAAGCGGGGAGGUAUAUAUGAAACGUUUCUUGCUUCCAGCAUCUCUUCUAGCGGUAUAUAUGUCGUCAGCUGGUUGAGGGAUUGAUGGCAAUCGAUCAUGGCUACGAUGACAUGUAUACGCGCCGGUAGGAACACAUAUCAGGCAAUGUCGAUGCACCUGCAUUGGGCCCUUGCUGAAGGUGGUGGUGCGUAUGGCAGUCUAAAGAUUUAAGACACAAAUUUAGACUUAAAACUUAAAUAAUCAAUUUGUGCCAGCGGGAAACACACAAACACGUACCGGUAAAUUAUCAUAAUCAGAAUUUGUCGACGAAUUUGAUAUUCUUUUACAAAAUAUACUUAUCUUAAUAUGUAUAACCGGAGUUUAUAUUACAUGCCCCUCUCCCAACGAUAGUUGUAGUACUCUUAUAAUAGUAGUACUCAUGAAUACAGUUAAUCCGGGUUGUUGGGAGAGAUCACAUGCAUAAAUACAACAUGAAACAAACGUGUGAAAAAGGUACAUAAAAUCGGUGUGACCCGUUCUUGUAUUAUAAGAAAUCAACUUGCUUAGGCCUUGCCGGACUCCUCACAACCCGGUGGCUUGAAGGCGAUGAAGCUGAUGCACUGCACUUGCCUGGUGUUGUCGAAGCCGAUGAUGCGGACAUAGGCGUCAGGGUACUCCUUCUUCACCUCCUCCAGCUCCUUUAGCACCUGCGUGGCGUCGGUGCACCCGAACAUGGGAAGCUUCCACAUUGUCCAGUACCUGCCGUCGUAGUACCCGGGAGAGUUGCCGUGCUCACGGAAGACGAAACCGACCUUGCUGAACUCGAGGCAAGGAACCCACUUGGAGCGGAUGAGAUACUCGAUCUGCUUCAAGAGGGACUCCACGGUGAGAGGCGGCAGGUAGGAAAGGGUUUCGAACUUCUUGAUGCCCUCAAUUGGCCACACCUACAAUUAGAUUAAUAAUUAGCACCGAAAGUAUAAUUUGAGACACAUAUCAGUAUUUCACUUCAACAUAUGUACAUGAUGACAUACAUACCUGCAUGCACCUGAUCCUUCCACCGUUGGAGACGCUGCCGAGACCAGCGCUGGCUGAGCGGCGGCCGAUGGGGAGCCCGGCGGUGGACUUGAGGCCCUGGAAAGGAGCAACGGCAGUAGCCGCUGACGACAUCACUGUGGGAGCCAUCGUACACGUACGUAGAUAGCUAACAAGAGGAGGCAGGCUUGCUUGAGUGCUCUCUAGCUACAGCGGCUUAUAUAACUGUAGGCUCCCCACCCAUCCAAUAUCAGCACAAGAUCUAGGAGGGGUGGCUGCAGUUCGCCGCGCGGAUUUGCCCAGGCCACGCUGGCAUCCUACGGAUCAGGUCGGGCGCCACAUGGCCGCACGAAAUGGCGCGCGUUAUCCUCUGGACGGAUACAAUUGGCUGCAACGCACUCUGCAAAUCAUGCCAUGAAGUGACCAAUUUUCACCUAUCAGGAUAGAUCCAAUGUGCCACGGCAUGCACUCAAAAACAGAACUUGCUAAUCCCUCCAAUCCAUAAAAAAUCUCGCCCACUUAUUAGAAAAUUUGUAAUGAGUUAAUGCAAAAUGAGCAGCACUUUUUAUGAACUAGAGGAACAACAAAUUAAGAGAAACUCUUCUAAGAUCUUAUCGAGAACGAAGCUUGCCCCCGCGUCGCUCAGUCUGGGGCGACACGGGCGGCAACCACACCAGCCCCGGCAGCAGCCUCUCCCCGUCCUCUCCUCCCCCUCGCCGCCGCCGGGCAAAGCCCGCACGGGGACGGCGGCGGCGGGGCUGUUUUUCUUGGCGGGGGUGUCCUAGAGCUCUUGGCUGAGGCGUUUGAGGUGCUGCCUCAUCGUGGUCGCGGCGUCUCCGGCCCGAUCCGGCAGGCUAUGCCUCGUCUUCGGCUAGAUCCGGCCGGCUUCCUCCCGGAUCCGGUGUUUCCCCUCGUUCUUCCUCUCCCUGGUGCUCGGUCUGCUCGUGGCUGCGCGGCUUCACGGCGGCGCUCUUCGGCCGGAUCUAGCUACUCGUUGGCCAGAUCCGUCAUCUCCUCCGGCUGAUCCGGCAUGUCCCAGGUCUCUUCGUUUCCAUCAUUUUUCCUCUCAGUUUGGUGAGGCGGCUGAUUGAACUUCACCGGCGGCAGAUGGGCUGCUGCUGCGGCCAUACAUGGUCCAAGUCGGUCCUUUUCGAUGCCAUGGUGGCGUGGUUUUCAUUUUCGGUCGCGUCUUCGGCUGCUGCCCGUGUGCGAGGUAUGGACGUCGGCUCCGGUGUUUGGAGUGUUGCUCUGGAUGAAAACUGCCCGUGUGCGAGGUAUGCCGAAGACAACGAUGUUGUAGCGCCGUUUUCCUUCUUGGAGGUGUCGUCGAAGAGCUUCACUUUCCCUCACUUUGAUGUUUGGUGUCUUCGGGUGAAAACCUAAGAUUUGGCUAUGGCCAGAUCGGGCGACAACGGCGUUUUUACGUCGAUUUCCUCCUUGGGGGCGUUGUCAUGGAGACAACGACUCUUGGUGGCAUCGGGUGGUGUGGUCCGUCUAUGGUGGAGCUUGUUGUCUCGAGUUGUUGAAGGUUUGGUGGUGUCUCUUCUUGUGUCAUGUGUUAGCUUAGGCUGUCGGUUUGUGUCCGGCGAGAACGUGCGUUUCUUAUCCUUUGGUGCGGUUUCGGCAUGUGAUGCCUUUCGUCUUCACUAUCGUCACGUAGGUGUCGUGUUGUAUUCUCGGUGGUGUGUGGUCUUUCGGCUUAGCCAACGGCAAGUGGAGGUAUGAUCUCGGUUGUGUAUUGCCCUUCGACUUCAUCGGCGGCACAUCGGCGUCGCGGUGGGUCUCAGUGACGCGCAGCCCUUCGACUCUGCCGGCUACGUAGGUGUCAUGGUGCGGCCUUGACCCUGUGCUUCCCUUCAGCUACGGCGACGACAUAGUGUCUGGGUGGGCUCGUCAGAUCGACGCCUUUCGACUACAUCAACUAUGCUCUUCAUUGUGCAUUUAUUUUGCCAUUGACAUGUUUCAAGAGUCUAGGUUUUUUCCUUGUGUUUCUUUUAGCAAAUGCUGUUCUGCAGGCUGGCUUUUGCCCACCCGAUCAGAAAAGAAAAACAAAUUAAAGGCUAAAAUCAAGCGAUGUUAUAUUCCCUUAGCUAUUACAAAUAUGGAUGAUAAGAGUUAUUUAUCCUUUUUCAACGAGUAACCCUUUACUUGGAAGUUCCAUGUGCAUGGCGCUGCAAGAAAACAAACAUCAUAAUGGGGCAAGACUUUUUUUUUUAUAAACAUCCAAUUUGGGUUAAAGUCUGAAAGAAUUUGGCUAUCUGAACUUUCAGUUUCCACAUUCUUUUACCUACUCAAUUCUUCAGCCAACAGGAUCAAUGGCGACCUACUAACACCAACCAGAACACAUGGGUCACAAACACGAAAAAGGGCUAGAAGGCUACUUAUACACACUCAUGUGUACUGCGAGCAAAAGAACAUAAUGUACAAAACUUUACAAAAUCUAGGGAAUUAAGACCUUCCCGUAUGCUGUUGCUGCCGCUGCUGCUUCAUGCUGGCUCUCCUGGCAACAUCCCAUGGUUUGUGAGGCACACCUACACCUUGCUGGGAUGCGAAGAACGACUCGUAUCCCGGGGAGUCGAAAGCAAAACCAGUGUGCUUGGAGUUCUCUCGAGGGAGCAUGGAGAUCGCAUAGCUUCUUGCUUCUUCUGGGCUCAAAUGGCUCCUCUCAGGCAGAUGUAUCAUGCUGUAUUCGUGGGGGUCAUCCUUGUGCAUCUCCUGGAUUACUUGGUAGUCAUAGGGAAAGAGCCAUCUUUGGAGCCUGAGAAAGCACACAGCAUCAAAGACAACAAUUGAUUCAGCUACUUCAGUAUGUACAAUGGAAGGAAUAACAAACGGAUGGCAUUAACAAACAUAUAAUUUUGCAAAAGAGCUGGUAUCUUACGAUAGAUACAGGAAAUCACCAAAGAGAGCGAUGACUGGAGCAAGCAUUAGUGUGAGGUAGAAGAAAAAGGUACUCAUCAGAACAUAAAUCACAAAAUAUACAUUUUCCUGCACAAGGUACACAGCAUUAAGUCAAUGCAUUUGUAGCAAGUAAUCGUCAUCAGCAGUGUAAUAGCUACAUUAUUCACCCACCUGUCGGUCAAAUGAUGUCAUUAUCGCAGAAUAUAUGAAGAUAAACAGAAACCAGGCCGCUAUACUGCCAGCUACGCUGAAAUAAUGCCAUCUCGUGAUAGAAUUGCACGACAUGAGGAGACGUAGAUUAACAGUCACCACAACACAAGUAAAGGCCAUCGUGCUAACAUCCCAUUGACCAAGAAUCUUGCCAGAUGAACCGUGACCAUGCUGACUUGCAGCUGCAGUAAAGUAAUAGAACACUAUUGACUGGUAGAAGGCAAAGAAACCCCACACCGCAAUCACUUUCCACCGGAAGAAUGUGUUCCUAAUUCCUUCUUGGUAAAGUUGUGGGUAUUUUUUUGAUAGAGAUGCACUCACAUCCUGAAAGGGUUCAGUUUAGUGAAUGUAGCAAGGAGCGUCACUCCAGAACAAGAAAAGUAGAACAAAUACAAGCAACCAUACCUUAUCAAACAACCCAACCAUAAUUACAGGUAGUGCCGUGAAAAUGACAUUAUACAGAGACUGGAACCAGUCAUCAUAAAAUCGCUGACCAGAAAAGCCAGUUUGGAAAGUGAACCAGAACUGAGUUAGUGUAAAAGUCAGAUUCUUGUAGAAGAAGUAUGUGAUAACCUGAAACAGAAAGUGUCAAUGUUAAAAAAAUUAAACUACACAGAUUGGCAGCUACAAGCUAAGGGACCAAAGCAUACCUUGCACAAUCUCAAGUAUGACCACCGCCCAUGUACAAGAAGUAAAUCCGUAAGAUAUCGAAACUGAGCAAUGGCAAAAUCACUCGCCAUAACAGCUUGCAUUCCUUCUUGUCCGCUGAUGCCAAUACCAACAUGAGCAGCUUGAAUCAUACUCACAUCAUUAGCACCAUCACCAAUACUGAGAGUUAUCUUACGUGCACCUUUCCUAACUAAACUUGCAACCUACAAAUGUGUCAACAUUACAUGUUUUGGCAUCAUUCGAACCCAACAGGUUAUUAGGAAAUAAAUCCAAAAAUAAGAGACUUUGAGAUUGCUGAUGGGAUGGGUAACAACCAAAUAAGCACAUAUACAAUAAGUUAAUUAAUACUACCUUUGUUUCAAAAUAUUAUACCAAAACGUCUUAUAUUUUGAAACAGAGAUAGUACUUAUAGUACAAGAGUGUACAGGACAUUUAGUUAAGAGGCCAAAACUAGAAUAGCAAAAGCAACCAAUGCACAGUGGUUAAUAAUGAUCUUGUGAAUCAUGCACAAACUAUUUUGUUGUCAAGGUACAAAAUUGGAUCCUUUAAAAUGUAAUAAUAUCAAUAUCCCCCGUUUAUUGCCCAAGCAUCCUGAAAGGCAUGCAGCUGAGAGCUGCAGACCAUACUGCUAAUUAUUUCAUGGGAAAAGGCAAGGCAUGCAUGAUAAGAACGCUAAAAGCGAGAAUUGAUAUUUACCUGUGCCUUUUGCAGUGGAGAAACUCGACAACAUACAACUGAUUGGCAAAUUAAACUCAAACCAAGAAGAUUCACACGCAGAGCUGGGUCUAGAGCGUACAUCAAGCAUCGUCCAUCAAUAAUGAAAGCCAACUUUCGUCCUGGCGUGCUCCUCAAAGAACGGUGGGCUUCCUCAAGGUAACUUCUCAGACUCUGUUUUACCGAGUCUUUGAUAACACGUGCAAUUUCCACAGGGUCUCCCUGAAAAUGACUGGAACAUUAUUCAUGGCAAAGAUAUGUGCAUAAGUUGAUUUACAUCAAUCAGAUACAAAUGCUAAAUUGCUAAUUAUGGUUGAUCAAACUGCAAAACACACGAGAUAUCCAAAAGGCUAUAUAAACAUGAUGGAGAGGCUAAAGCACUGAAACAACAGAAUCAACAUAAAGUAUUUUGUACUAUUAUGCAACUAAGCCUUUUGUCCCAAGCAAGUUGGGGCAGGCUAGAUAUGAAACCCAAACAGAAACUAAAGCAAAGUGCAGGUAACAAAAGAGCAAGAGAGUAAAUCAAGGUUCAGGCACAUGGACUGCUGAUUUCCAUGCAGCCCUAUCAAAAGCAAAAUCUCUAGAUACAUUCCAGUCCUUCAAGUCCCUUUAACUGCCUCCUACCAAAAGCAAAUAUCAUAGUAAUCCACCAACCAAAGUAACAAGGGAACUACUUGUAACUUCUUAGUUCACAAGUACAUACCAGUUGAGCUAUCCAAUUAUUCUAAAUAAUAUGGUUUGAUACCUUUACCAAAGUCUCAACUUGUAUUCAUUUUAAAGCUUAUACAAGAUAUUAUAUGUUAUGGCUUAACAGUCUCCAUGACACAAUAUGGCUUGACUUCACAGUUUAAUUCUAUAGGAUUAUCUUACCCUGUCUUCAGCAUCUCUAAUUGCAUCUGUCUCAGAAGUGAUGAUGAAUUGUUUUGUAUCGUUAUUCACCAGGCUGCACGCUGCAGAGCAAAAACUAAAUAACUUCAGAAGCUUUUCUAUGUCAGGUGAAAGAGAGAGAAAAAGACCGCCCGCCCCCCACCAAUAAUCCAAAACUGAGCUUCUAUUAGACCCCUUAAGAACGAAACAAGCAUGCAAAUUGAUCUAUAUAUAAUUAAAACCUCACCAUAUGCUAUAUUAAUUGCUGUUUCCAUUUUAUCUCCAGUUAGCACCCAAAUUUUUAUGCCAGCUGCAGAAAGAGUUUCAAUGCAGGCUGGAACCCCUUCUUGCAGUUUGUCUUCUAUUGCAGUGCACCCUAUCAAUAUAAGGUCCUUUUCAAUCAACUCAGCCACCUACAGGGGAAGAAACAGAAGGAAAUUAUAUGGCAAUGUCCCAGCAAUAUCUUAAAUCAGAAUAUACAUUAAGUCUAUUACUUCAAAUUCCUUUUUCCUAGAAAUCACAGUGAACUUAGUACAUGAAAGAAUGAAAGGAUAAUGCUUUUCUAAUGGGGAUUUGAAAAAACAUCAUAAAAAUAAUAAUAUAAAGUACUGUAUGUUCUUGUUCUAGAUAAAUUACAAAUAUCUUUUGCUCAUGAUCCUCUUUCCUGACUAAAAAAUAUAUAUUAUUAUGUAAAAUACUAAUGUUCUAUGGCAGUACAAGAUAAUAAAUUAGCACAAAAAACUAUUAAACUGCAAAUGUCAGCUGUUAGGGAUGGAUGACAUGACUCCUGUAGUUUUGGGGGGAGAGAGAGAGGAGACACACUGAACAAAUUACUUCCUUCGUCUCCAAAGAUUGCCAUGCCACAUUCUAUUCGGUCAGUCAACCUUUUACAACUUCAAAAUUAACAAUUAUAAGUGAAUUGAAUUACUACAUGAAAAAUAACAGCACUCAAUUUGCUUGCAUAAUAAUUUGUACGCAAAACUUUUGCUUGUAUAUUAGCAUAGAAAUCAUAGCCAGAGUUUUAUGUUGGGAGAAUAUAAAAUUAAAAAAUGGCCUACAUUUGUCAGGUACAUUCAGUUAAUUGUUUCCAAAACCAAAUUAAUUUUCAUACAUAAAUACCAAACGGAUCAAUAGCAUGCUCAACAGUGCACAUGAGACUCGAGUUCAGUACUGGAUGACAGAAAGUAAAAAAAAUCAGGCAAGCACUAGAAGGUGGAGGGGAAGUAAUCGAAAUUCAAAUCACAGGGACUGUUCAGCCUGUAUACUCAACAGAAGAGGAUGGUACACAUACCUCAUCAAGCUUCUUAUCACGAUCUCGUAAAGAAGAUUUAGCUUGAACAAACUUCUCAUUCCAGCUUUCGUACUGCUCCCUGCUUAGAUCUCGAUAAGCAAGGCAAAGCGUGCGCAAGCCAGCAGAGCCAAAUUGUUCUAGAUGUUCUCUGCUUGUCUUUUUAAUGUCAUGAUUUCCAUCAGCUAACCGUUCAAAAAUGACAUUAUCAGCGCCCUGUUACACAACAUUUGUAUAAGGUUAGUGCAUCAAUCUACAAAGUGAUAGCUACAUAAAGAUUCUUUUUUCUUGUAUUACCUUGCAAUACAGAACAAGUUUUCCAUUUGGGAAACGGCAAACCACAGAUUGGCGCUUUCUUGUACUGUGAGUGCAGUAAAGUGUGAAGUGCAGAACAAUGAUUUCAUCUUGUCAAAUUUAAAUUGAAAACAGAUAAACCAGACCUGUUGAAUUCCAAAACAUUCAGAAUUUCAUAUGCAACAUCUUGUAUACUCCCCAUCCUCUCAACAUGUGAUUCCCGAACCAAGACUGUGGUUGGCGUACGUCUACAAGACAGGCACAAAAUGUCAACCACCGGCAUUGCCAUUCACAAUAAAAAUGCCACAUGAAAUAAUUUGCAACAAAAAUCAUAAGAACUUAGAUGAGUUCAUGUUCACAGCACUUGCUUUAACACUUGUCUUAAUUUACAACGGCAAUUUUUUGUUGAUGGGCUAAUAGUUUAUUUAUGCUUCUUAGUAUGUACAUUCAGUCCUUCAUACAACAAACUAUAUAAGCAAUAACCUGGGUGAGUGACUCUUUUAUGCACAUUUUCCUUGGGACCAUAGCAUAGUUUUUUAAGAUACCUUGUUUGCAACAAACUGAUAAGAGGAAUCUAUAACUGUAUUUAAAGGCAAGGUAAGACAUGCCUAUAAAAGAAGAAACCAAAAUUCUUCGCAGCAGCGACAAGCGCGGCCUCGUCGGGAGAGGCAGCUUGAUAAGUAAUCUUUUCCGGUGUCUCCUCACCCUCAGGAAGAACUGUAUGACAGAUUGCAAGGCAUCUGCAGAAUUGCUAUAGAGCAAAUAACAAAGUUGUUACACAACUAGCACAUUAACAAGGGAAAAUGUGAAAAAGGAAAAUAGGUUCCAAAUUUUAUUAGUAAGGGCAUAUAUCGUGAUAUGUGAAUAAUUUGUGUCAACUAAAUCAAAACUGAUUAUGACCAAAGGGGAACCAAUCGAACUAUUCCACAGGUAGUCCCGUAUUUACCACGCAAGCAUCAGGAUUAGGUUCAUUUCUCCAUGCACCACGCAUUAUUCUAGCAUCAUCAAAGUUGAAUCCUUUCUCAUGAACUGCAGUGGCUGAUCUUUUACCCUAAAAAAGGCAAGUAAACUGGAUAUUAAAUCAGUUGUGCAUUAAAUUUUUCAUCAUAUACCACCACACUUCAAUAGCGUAAACAACAAAGAAAAUGUUGUAGACCUCAUCAUCAUCAAUCUUGACUCCGGCUCGCUCGGCUCCUCCUUUUUCAAUCUCUGUGAUGCCAGUUCCAUAUAUUUCCCCUCCAAUCGAACAUUUAAAGAAUUCCAUCAAGUUUCUUGUAAGUGUUCCAGUUUUGUCAGAAAAUAUAUACUCAACCUGAACCAUUAGUGGGGCAAAAAAAAUUUGGCAGAAAUGUCAAAUUAUUUGCAAGUGUUAAGUGCAUUUUAGUACCACUCGGCAUUUGUUCAGUCAUAUAAGCAUUUCUGGGGAUCUAGAACAGUUUUUCGGUGGGAGUAAGUCACUUAAUAUUAGUGAAAUGAGACUGUUCCCCAAGUGCUUAUAAUUGAUCCCACUUUCUGGAAUGAGUCGGUGCAGUGAGGUCAUUCUAUCCAUUAACCAAACCCAGCCAUAUAGGUCAAAUAAGUAAAUAACCCCAUUUCAGCAACAAACAAAGGGGCUUUCAUCAAACUAAACAGAAUGCUAAGGAACAAAAAAAAAACUGAUAUUACCUGCCCAAGCUCCUCAUUCAGAUUAGAAGUCCGAGCCAAAGCUGGGGUGUUGCUCUCGGCAUGAUACAUAUUCAGAUCAUUGUUAAUAAACUUUGCACACUGAAUGAAUUUGAUCAUCUGCCAGCCAAAAUAAACAUAAGGUCCAAUCCAAAUACAGGGUACACUAAAUGAUAAAUUGGUCAAUAUACCUCAAUGGAUACAUAAAGAGAAAUGGGGAUGAUCGUUGAGUAUAGAGUUAUUAGAGUAAACAUAGUUAAAAUGGUCACCUGCAAAAGUACAAACCUAUGAUAUAAGGCCACUUAGAGAAUAUUCUCUACAAUAAAUUAACUAAAAUAAUAUAUACCACAAAUCUGUUCUUGGGAUUAAACUGGUCCUCGACACGCCCACGCAAUCCAAGAUAGAAGUAUUUCUCAUUAAUAAACACGCCACUGUUCACAAAAGCCAAGUAUGAUGAGUCCAUUGGUAGAGUUUUAGGUUUCUAAAGAACGUGCAAGCUAAGCAGUCAUAGUUACCAAAAUCUAUAUGCUGAACAGAGCACUUCCAUUUCUGACCAUCUAGAAAGUGCCCUAUUAUGUACCUCCCACAUAAAACCACUAAGAAAAAAGAUAAGGCUAUUAAGACCUAGUCAUGUGCUCAUCUAUACUGCUCCUAUGCCACAAUAAAAAAAUAACUUCCCCAAACAAGCUCCUGACAACUCAUGUCAUAAUGUUUAAAGUUUAUCUCUCUAUUAACAGUUGUUUUUUCAUGAUCAAUUAAAUUGUGAAAAAUGAUUGUGCAAGCAUAAGCCUCCACAACAUCAACCUAACCGAUAUAACUCAUGUUCAGAGAAUAUACAUGUAAACAAUAAUACAAGAUAGAUAAGUCAAAUAAAUGAAGUGGGCCAAAUAAAACACUGACCUUCCAAUAGCACCAAUGACACACAUCGUAAAGAGGGUUGCAAAUAGAGCAAGAAUAAGCUUGUCUAGUUUCUUCUCCAAUGUACUUCUUUUAGAGGGAACAUUCAUAGAAUUCAUCAUAACCUGCAAUAGUGUCCCACUGCAGUAAAUCUCAAAACUAGAAGCACAUCUAACCUACAAGUUGAAUAUAUAGGGACACAAAAUUGCACAUACUUUCGUCUCAUGGCCCGUGAAUAUAACAGCCGCGACAAUGUACUCUGUAUUACGAAGGCUGCAUCCCUGUGGCAAAGUGGUAAUAAGAGGUUGCAUGUGUGCCACAUAAAGAGAGAGAAUUAAGUGUCAUGCAAGACACCGUUCAGUCUGGUGAAAGUAAACAUUUCUUUUGCACUUUACAAACAUUGCUUCAACCCUUCACCACUUAUCCUACAUAUGGGACUAGAGAAGAAAUGGAAGUUGUUUAUAUGAAUGUUAAACAUUUCCAAAUUGUUUAUAUCAUAGCUAUCCUUGUUUGCAAACCAAUAAGAACAAUAUUAUUAUAGAGGUGUUUUAUGAUGAAAAUUUCUGCUGGUGACAUUUGGGUGUCGUCAAUAUUGGUAUUUGGAGGAGAUGUUGGUGAUCAAAGUUAAAGGCCGAGUAAAGGCAUCACGCUAUGAUGUUAUUUUUUACCUGAGGGAUUUUCUUAACAAACUCAUGCUAAAUCUAGAACAUGCAAACAACUUUGCAGGUGGACAAUCUUGUAAAGAAAUUUCAAGGGCAUGUUUGUGUGAGGGGUAUUACUUUGGUACGUGUUGGUAACUACAUACCUAAUUGUUACAAGAAAAAUCUCAUCCAAACAAGCCCUAAGGACAUUAUGGACCUUGCUACUGCAAAGUUGGUAAGUCGAAAAUACGACAGGAUGUCUGAUUGAUAUGUAGGACCUGGACCCACAUGUCAUUCUCACAGCGAGUCGCACUAUUUCAAAUGUCAACUUUGUGGUGGCAUGGUUUCAAUUUUCCCAAUAAGAAACUAGAUACAAAUAGCAUAGAUGAACAGCACUUACCCUUAGUAGUAUUUGAUUUGGUGAAAUUGGUAUAGUUUGCUUGUCCACAAUAAGGUUCCCGGUAAAUGUAUAAAGUGAAUUGUUUGGCUGUUCGCAUUGUAUUUCACCUGUAAGCCAUGAAACAUACAGAUAAUGUGAAGUUAAGAAAAUGUAGAAUAGUUAAGUGAAGUUCAGAAAAGGAGCAAUGCUUCCUACACCAACUACCGAAAAAUGUCUGCAACAUGGAACAAGAAUAGAUAAAAACCUUUGAAUUCAGAAGCCUUUUCAGGAAUUACGCAGUCCCAGGUUUUCUCCAAAGCCUUCCUUAUUUUCAGGUUAGUUUCCCCAUCAAGAUUUGCUGUCUAAGGUAAAUAGAAGUAUGAUACACUUCAAUUAAAACAGAGUUUCUCUAAAUCAUUCAAUAAUUUCAAUUUGGACAAAAGAUGGAGAAGGUAAGAAUGAAUAUAUUGACCUCUAUGUAGCAGACACCAUCAGGGUUCGUACUUGAUAGGAAGAGCAAGUCAGAAGGAAAGUAAGUGUCUUGCUUGAUCUGCUCUAAAGAAGUGCCAUCACUAUUAGUCUUUUUGGAUAUGUGUAUCGAGCUGAAGAUUAAAUUUGCACAGCACAAAAGAUCAAGUGCAUUAAUUUGUGGAAGCAACAGAUCAAUUGAAUUGAUCAUCAAAUUGCUAUCAGGAAAGAUGAAGACAUUACCCUCACAAUAUCUCCAACCUGCAGUCUUUUCCAAGGGGCACUUUCCCAUUUUUGACCUUGCAAUACAUCGACGUGCGCAUUAUUAAUUGACAUGUCAUUCUGGAAACGUUUCUGUAUAAUGGGAGGCAAACAAAAAGGGAAGAAUAUCAGAUAACAUUAAGAAUAGCAAUAAAAUAGUGGAGCAACAGAGCAUGAGAGCAAUACUAACCCAGUCCUCAAAAGCUUCCUUGAUGAGUGAAACCAAAAGCACUAAACUAAGUGGAACCACAUUGGUGACAGGGUGGACUGGACUGCGAAGAUACAAGCAUGUAUGAACUAAGAUUUCUAGAAGUAAAGGUGAAGGAAAGCAAAGGAUGACUGAAUCAACUGAUGGACUUGAUAUGCUAAGAAGUGUCUAGCUGUAACAUGAGAAUUCCAUAGGGUGCAUGCAUGAGAGAGAGAGAGAGACCUAAUUGGUGUAGUCGACAAGAUUGAAAUCAUAAGAAAGUAAAGAUUUGCCACCCGUCUGAACUGUCAAAGCAAAAAAAAAAACAAAUGAAUUACAAAAGGUUCCUAUGGUCAAAUUGCGAUAAUACAGAAAGGGAACAUCUAAAUCGGUGUUACAGCUACCAUUGCAAAGUUUCUUUAUUCGAUAUGGAAAAAUGCAUUACAUGUUUAAUGUAUGAAGCCAUUGAAAUACUUUAAUGUACCUUACGUAAAAAACAGUGGAUAAUGAAAUUGCCAGAAUUAUGGUAUCGCAUAAAAUGAAGGUUACAUUGAGCGAAAAGCAUGAUCAGGGCUUUACCAAAUAACAAAAUCAUACUUCUCCUUUUCUCAAUAUAUGGCAUUUUAGGUUUCAUUGAAGACAAGUCUUUGAAAAGGAUUUACUUUGUGUUGUUUUUAAGGCAUGAAAUUUAUAUCACUAGAUUCAUCCUCAAAAGUACUUAAUGUGGAUUCAUAUCAUAUAAAUCACAUAUUAAUGAAGUAAUUCUUGGUCAAAGUCUUGUAUUAACGAAACCUAAUAUGUCCUGUAUUGACAAAAUGAGGGAGUAUAUUAUCUAACAGUGCAUGUAUACAGGCACGAUACUGGUAGCGCGUAUUACAAGCAAGGUAUCUUAAAAACAUUGCAACACAGUGCCAGACCAGGUAAGCAACUAAGCAUCUCAUGUAUCCACUAUUUUAAGGGAAGUUGAUCCAGAGUGAGGAAAUAAACAUUUUUAAGGAGAUAUAUCAAUUUGCAAUGUGAAAAUGAUACGGAGUAGUAUAAUCAUUUCACUGUGAUAACAAAUACUCCCUCCGUUCUAAAUACUUGUCGCUGUUUUAGUGCAAACUAAAACAGCGACAAGUAUUUAGGAACAGAGGGAGUAACUUCCAUUUACCGUUAGACAUGAUACAAAAUAAUAUGUUGAAAAAAAAUCUAGCCAAAAACUAAAAAACAAACAGAAAAUCUGCAUUAAACGAUGACAAACCCAGCAGGUAUGUUGAUUAACAAAAUAUGUAUGAACAAAAAACAACGCAUCAAUACCUGUUCAAACAAUCCUUUAGGUAGAAAUGUCAGCACACUGUACUUUGUAGUCGACACAGAAUUUCCCUGGAAAUGUAGAAUGAGAAUGUUAAAGAACUAAUUCUAGCAGAAAAACAAAGUAGCGCUCUGCAUUAGAAUCGCGAUGGUCUGAUACCCAACAUGAGGGAGAUUCUGAAACUAAACAGAAGAGCUAAUUGCAACUAGAAGCAUGAAAAAAGUAUAGCUUGAUCUUUUUACAACAUCAAGUCUGAAUACAUUCAAGCAUUUACACUAACUUGGAACAAAAUGUGGGUGUCAAAGAAAAUGCAUGAAUACACCUACUUACAAUAAAGCACCAAUUUUGCAGUGAUUGGACAAACUAUGGUUAAAAUACUUAAUAAUAGAGUUCUACGUAUUUGGAGGCAUAAAACGCAUUGCAGUUGGAGCAGUGGCAUUAUCAUGUUAGUCAGUCUAACAUGGCAGUGAAUGACGUGAAUUUUUUGCUAGUUUAGACCUCUGGCCAGCGCAAUUGACAAAAAUGCCCCCCUCUCAAAACUAAUGCCAAAAAUGGUCUGGCAGAAGGCCCGAAAGGCGCCACAUUUCAUUUUUCGCCAUCUGAGCUGCGCAUGCAAACAUUCCGACAACCUGAAAGGCGGAAAGGCCGUUCCGCCUACUGCAUUUGAUGAAUGCACCUGACAAGGGCGGAAGGUGAACUGGGCCCUGCAGAUGGAAGCAAUUUCCACAUUUGUUACAGACCUGGAAUCUUUUUUUUUGUUGGAGUCGACGGACCAUGUAUGUGCGGAUGCAUAGGAAUCGGCAAGCAGCCUAGCUGCUAGUUCACGGGCACGUUUUACAUUUUCUUUCCUCAGGUUUGGCUAGUGCUACCACGUUGAUACUAAUCAACGCUUCUUGUGAAUGGGCUUAGUUGCUUCUACUAGUCGUGCGAGCGUUAAUCUUUUCUCUGUGCGCCUGCAUGUGCGGGCGUGGGAAUCGGGUCAGGUCCCUGCAGACAGCACGCCUGGCUGCACUGGGCCUGCUUCAGCUUCCGCCCCUGAAAAUUCACUUUCGUCCAUUUCAACUGGAAACAAGUAGGCUCCACCUGUCCUGUUGGCGGAAAGUUCAUUCCUCCUACCCAGUGGCCACUGGGUCAGUUGCUGGGCUUUCCACCACGUCAUUUUUCAAAUUAUAUUUCAGAUGGAGCUAUUUUUGCCAAUUCCGUUUGACAAGGGGCUACAAGAGCAAAGAAAUUGAAUGACAUAGCAAGCAAUCAAUUUCCCCUUAUAGGUAAAUAAUAAACAGCUUUGCUUCAGCUUACUGUCAUCAGCUGGUGGCUGACUGCCCUGACCAAACACAAGUUCAGUAAUCUACACAGCAAGCGGCACACAGGUGCAGCUAAGCACAUGGAUGAACAGAAUAUUCCAGCCAUUGAGGCUCAGCUCUCGAAGCUUAAUGCCAGGUGGCAUCUACAUUGUAUUGCAGCCCGUAGCACCCUGAUUGACUAGUAACCCAACAAUGAGACAAGCUCUAAUCCACCCAAUGACCUCACAGUUGGCAAGAAAUGCAGCCCUUAGUGACACGCACCACCCUACAUAACUUUCUCGUGGACUAAUCAGUAUGAAUCAUAUAAACCCUCUGCAAGCUGCAGUGAAAUAAAACUACUACUACUGAACUAGCUAUUGUCCCAGAUGGCCAUCUCCAACCCAACCGCCCAAGCAUGAAACAAGGGGCCAGUUACGAGAUCUAGGCCUACAGACCCCUAGACCUUGAGACAACCGACCUGUUGAUCAUCCGAAUUAGAGGAGGAGGUGCACACCCGUACCUUGUACCCGACCGGCGCGUUGGCUUCGCGGUCGUUGCAGUAGAUGGUGCGCACGGUGGGUGCCUGCGGCUGCGGCUGCCGUCGGAGGCUGCCGCCCCCGCCGCCGAGACGCGCCGUCCUGGACGCCUCAGCGCGGCCGGCCUGAGAGGUCCCCCCCCGCGGCGACUGCUCGCCGCCCAGCCGCGCGGUGGCAACCCGCAUCAUCUCCUUUAUGCGCGAGCUCAUCCUGCCCCCCUCAGCGCCAAACCCAGCGCUGGAGGAGCCGGCGGGAGAUCUGGGGAAACCUCACGGUGGAUCGGAGGGGAGACCUAGUCGGAUUUGCGCGGCUUUCUGGUGGAUUUCAGUGCCUCGCUGAGGAGGGGAUUCGAUUUGGGUCACGCGUUCCCGUAUGUGCGUAUUUUUUCCGUGUAAUUUUUUUGUUUUGCCUUUUUCUUUUCCUUUGGCUCCGGGAGAAGAGAAGACAGGAGGGGAAGGAAAAGCGAAGGUCGCGACUUCGCGAGGAAGAAAAUGAAGGGAUUACUGCAGAUCACACCCUUGAUUAUUUUCGAAUAUGGAAAGCUCCAGUAACUGAAGUUUGAAAUUCCAGCCGCGUUUGUCUUUUCCUUCUUCGAGCAAACAACCGUGUUCUUGACUUGUUCUAUGUUUUUGCUGUCCGGAGGACUACCCGAUUUGCAAGUAAAUAAUGGCAUUAAUUUCAUAUAAGCACUUUAGGACACCACACUUGACAUGGUUUUCUACUGACGACGACUAUAUGGUGGCUUUGAUGUUCCAUGAAUAGAUCUUUUUAGCGGUGUUUCAAGUUCAGGUGUUAUAACAAAGCAUUACUCUUGACCUAUCUUCCCUUGCGACCAUGCUUUUUGAAUCGCCAAGUCGAGUCGAAUCGCCCCCCAACAGACUUGGAGGUUAGUAUGAUUAGUCAGAAACUAGUCUCGACUAAUCAACCCAAGUCGAGCCUAGUGAUCAGUGAGGUUUAGGGAGCUCUAGCAGGGAGCAUUAGAGGAAAGGAGUGAAUUGCAGUAGAGGGGAAGCACGAGGGAACAGUUUUUGUGGUGCUGGAGCUUGAAGAAGAGGUUCAUGGCGGCUAGGAUCUAGGAGUCGAUAAACUUAGAACGCCCGUGUUGAGGCAAACGCGUUGAGGAAGACGACUUCAAAGGUGGUUGGCUCAUUAUCAGGAUAGGUGCGUGCCUGGCAGCCCAUAAAGGCCUAUUAGAAAACCCUAACUCCCCCCUCCCCCCCCCCCCCACACACACAUUGCCUUCUUCUACACCACACACGCACCAAUGGCGGCCAUCUUCUUCCCCUUCCCUGCUGCUCCCCAUGCCUUCUCUCCCUCCCCGAAAAGAAAUAUCUUCCGAAAAUUCUUCUCUUCGAGUCAAGUUGAGGGGCUCGCGGCGUUCCUAGUCACGGCGGCUAGUCGGAGAAGUCGCGGUUCUAGCUGACGAGUCGCGCGACUUGCUCUGCUAGUCGAGUCGCGGCUGCAAGCCGCCAUCAUUGUGCUGGCUCGGCGACUAGUUGGCGAUUCAAAAACCAUGCUUGCGUCUUAUAAUUUUGUUUCCUCUUAGAUUUUUUUCAAUUAUGUAUGGAACUCUUUUAAGCUUGGCUAACAUAUUGGGUCAAUUUGUCUCCCAUUGAAAAAAAAACAAUUUCCUAUAAAAAAUAAAGUAUCCACAAAACAAUAUGCAUAGCGCAGUUGUUUUCAAAGUUGUGGAUGAAACUUUGUGUUGUACAGGCAACCACUUAAUAACUUGUUCGGUUGUAGAAUUCCCCGCAUGUAUUGAAGAGGAUUAAGAGAGAUCUAAGGAAAAUUGAUCUGCAAUUCGAUCAUUCCCUCUUAAUCCCCAUCGGAGUGGAAUCAACCGAACGGGGCUAAUGUGGACCAUAUCACCUUGAGGACUCCAUUCUUCUUUUAUGGCAACGUUGCAUGGACCUUGAUAUGAACGCACGUGCCUGCAAUCUCUAUUAUUUUUUCGUAAAUAGCAACUGUCCUUUCUGUAUCUUGUAAUAUGUUUUCUACAAUUUUAUUUGGGAUAUUUCGUCAAGAACCCAAAUCGAUUACAUUUUCCACUUUGGCGAAUGAGUCAAGAUUCUCCAUGUGUUCCAGCGAGGCAACUGCGAGCUACACAUGUAUGGUGAAACAAGCCUCGCAACUUCGUAAGUAACUCCAAAACUACAUCAGCACGUCUCUUGAACUUUGGAAACACACAGACGUGUUCCACGACCGUGAGGCGACGGAGUUAACGGGGCAGCGUUGCCGGAAAGACAAGAGUACCGUAACAAGGCCCAGACUGGGCUGCAUCGGCGUUCUGCCUCUAUUACAAGCGAGAGAUGUUGAACCGGCCAAGGUUAGGCAAGGCAGUCAGCGGGAGGAUUUUUUUUUUUUUGUUGUUGGUUUUGAAGAGGCGCGGGAGGAGAAGAACUUGCUUGACCAGCCCACAAGAUCGUGAACCGGUAUGACAUUGACAUUUUAUUUAGGGCCAGUAACGUGUAAUUAGAAGUACUAGCUUACAUCUCUUCCUUUUUGAACCGUCAGAUCUGCAACCAUAUCAUCUCUCCCCUUUGUCCUCUUCGCUAUGCCGAUUUUAGUGAAACGCCGCUGCCAAAUCUUCACAGGAUUGUGAACCGGCAGCAGCUUCGACCCUUCAAUAUUAUUAUUACAGCUAAAUAAAAGACUGAAAUUAUAGGUGAGGUCCUUUGUUCUAAUCGCCCAAGCGAGCAGAAGCCAAGAGAUUACGUGCAAGCAUAGCAUGGCCAUGUUCGCCAACUCAUGACAUAGUGGCACAGGGACUAACCACCUGGAUUACAUGGCUAGCUUCCAUAUAUGUGCAACAAAAUAUUGGUACCAGGCAGCCAUCUGUGCCACCAACCAUAAACUCCCUGAUCCCAAAAAAUACAAAAUACCAAGAGUUUCCACCCACAUCAGUACAAGUGCACAACAGUUUAAGAGACAAGCCAAGGAUCAUUCCCAGUUUGUGGGAAUAAAUAAGAGUCCGCAGCAAACAGAAAACUCAAAAUCGCUGGCAAAGUUAGGAUGUGGAAAAAAGAAAGGCUUAAAAUGAUCUAGCCAUGGCGUCAGAAUCUAUUAUCAAUGUUUCUCUCUCAAGGAUUUCCCUUCUAUAUAAAGUAUAAUAUUACAAAGGGGCUGCUUAAAUAUCAUGGACUCCUGGAAUGUAAAGAGGGUAAUAAUCAACACUACAUGAGCCUCCUUUUUCCUGAGGCUGCUUCCUAAGACUGACUGACUGCUUCCCCGAGGAUCCACAUACACCCUCCCCUCUCCUCAAGUUCCACCUCCCACCAUGGAAGUUAAACCCCCACCAUGGAUCCGAUGCUAACCAACUGUACGCGACCUGGAGAAAGUCAGUCAGCUUGGUGGUUCAAUCAAGACAGAGCAUCACGAUAUUGCCCAAAUGGUAUAAUUGGCAGGAUCAAUAAGUAGUUUAUGCUCGCAGCAAGAUCCAAAAGAACCAAUCUACCAUGACUAAUGUAUGACAAGAAUGAUGUCUUAUGUCUACUUUCAGAUACACUAUGGUCCAGGUGAAACAAUAUUUUAAAGUUUAGUAAUUACUGGCAGUAGUAGACAGACCACAGAAGUGUAAAGAUAUUUGCACACAUGACCUUUUAAUCCAAGGCUAACCCAACCUUGUAAGCUACGUGCUGUUUGUGCUAACGCUGCUGCUUGAAUGCAAUUAGACAGUGGUGAUGUCCUUGUUAGUCUGUUACAUACCUAAGGCAUCACCUCCUGAUUCUAGGUUUGCACCGGAACUCUGCUAAGAGCGCUAUGUGAUCUGAUGACCAUUCAGGUGAAGGAAGAGCAGUGUCUUUUCUUAAGCUCUCCUCAUCCAGAAGUUCCAACAAAGACUCCACGGUCAACGAAUCCGCUGAAACAAUAAAGGAAACAUGAUCAACUGACCAUAAUCAAACAUAUCACAAUACUACAAGCUGAUUCUGAAGCAAUUCCCAGAAGUCUAAAUACAGCAUACAGGUCAGGUACCUACCUGUGUAAAAUAUAUAAUCAACAGUUCCAGUGAAAUCCCUUGUGCAAUUUGUGAAAAGUGGUUCAUUUGUUCCUGGAUCCAUCCUCCUUCGCUGGUGCUCUAAAUCAUAGCCAACACCUACCAUUCUUGCAAAUGAAGAAUAUGCACUGACCUGCAAACAAGUAAACAUUGGUCAGAAUUUUAAAGGAAGAACAAGAUAGACAAGCUUGAUAGUUUUACUGUACCAGAGGAAGCUGGUGCGUCAACUUGCUCACGGGGCGUAAAAUUGAAAGUGGGUCUAUGGCCAGAUCUGGAUGCAAUUGAUCAACUUUGCCCACCGCAAGAAGCCCAUGUGGAGUACUGAAAGACAAAAGGAAGCACUUAGAGAUUUAAAGUUAGAAAAAACAAGUAAACCUGAAAAAUAUUGCUCCAAUAGAAUCUUGACAUGCACCUCCCCGGGAUUGAAUUGAAAUCCCCACAGACCAACAUUGGAAUGUCUGCACUGUUGGCUAUUUUCUCCAAUCCUUUUAGUAGUGUUUGAACCUGCAAAAAACAUACUUACUUUCGAUCUGAAUUUUUCAGAUGUUGCAGAAUGCUAGCCUACAGAGAAUGUGACAAUACUGACCUCCCAUAGUUUCACAUCUUUGAGGUCUUGGUGGACAUUUACAUGUGUAUUGGCCUGAAAUUUGAGAUCAUUUAAAAGAAUGAGACCUCCAUGACUCCAAGUAGCAUAAGCCUAGGCCGUAUGAACAAUGGGAAAUCUGUAGUAAAGUUGGCCUCAAAAUCUAGAGUCUAGAGAGCCAAGUCCCAAUCAUCCGCCAUUAACAUAUAGAUGUUUCCGUGCAUCUUAUGCUACUAAGGUCAUCCUACACAGAUAUAUGUUUCACUUCAUUCCUAAAUGUUGUGAGCAAAGAAGGAAAAGAAUCCAUAUGUUGUUCUGCACUAUGCUGCUAGCAGUUCAAUAGCUAAACAUACGGGAAAGUCCACUUUUGGCCCCUUAACUAUUGCCUCAGAUCAAAAUCAUCUAAUUUGCACCCUCAACUAUCAAAAGCAUCCAAGUUACAUCUGAAGGCAAUAUUUGUUAGAGGCUUUGUGUGAUGUGGCAUCCAUGUCAACGUGUUUUGCCACAUCAAUCGCUGCUGGGCAGUAGGGCCCACAUAUCAUGGCUGCCGUGCCCCUUCUUUCUUUAUAAUUCUUCCUCCUUAGCCAUGCCAUGGCCUCCUCUGUAGGCUAUAGCUUCCACUGCUGCUGCUACAGAUAACCCAUGUUUGACGUUGCAUAACAUCUUCUGAUUUAGAGAGGGGUAUCCUGACAGACAUGUACCAGUCUCCGCAAACCGCUGCACGGCUGCAUCCUGAGGGGAAUGGACAAAGAGAGGAUUAGAGAGGAAGGCUGAGGAGGGAGGCGUUUAGGGCGACUCCAACACGGCCACCCAAAUCGGACACAAAAAGUGUGUCCGUUUGGGUCUGCUGGUGCCCCUAACACGGUCACCCAUUUGGUCCGUUUUAUUAUUUAGUAUUGGCCACGGAUAGGCGGGCCAGGGCAAGGACAAGGGAGGACAAGCGCAGUGUCCACCCGCUGUCCGCCCAGACACAAACCCGGUCAGAUUUGGGUCGGCAAUGGGUUGAGCUGGACAGAAAAGCAGACAGCCGCCACACCGGACGAAAUGGGUCGCCGCGUUGGAGUCACCCUUAAUGCUAAGCUGGGAAAGAGGAAGGGAACAGAAAUAAGAGGAUGAGGACAAGGGAGGGAGAAAAGGGUGCUUCCAAAAAAUCAAUCCCAGGCAUGUGGGGCCUACUGCCCAGUGGAGAAUGAGAUGUCAAAGUUGCUGAUUUGGCGGCUACAUACAGAAUAUCACUCAUGAAACCAGCUUCUGGUCCUAUCGAACGGUUUCAUGAGUUGAUGGUUCAAUUUAGACCAGGCAAAAGUUGAGGGAUCAUAAUUAGGCUUUUCCAAACAUAAAUGAAUGUCAUGCUGUAAAAGUAGUGUUCGUCAUCCAGUAAACUGGUUCGAAUAUCCAACAAGCGCACAACUACUUUAUACACAUCUAAAGAAAGAACAGCUAUUUACAUACCACACAAAGGAGCUGCCUUUUACCAGGAGUUUCAGUUCCUUGGUUGCCAAAUUUUGCUUCUAAAACCGCAAUCAGCGCAAUAUUAUCCUUCAAAGCAAAUAGAACGUGUGAUAAAUAACAUCACUUUUUUUUGCGAAAAGUGAUAAAUAACAUCACUGUAGCAUACAUUAUUUCUUUUGAAGUUAAUCUUACUUUAAUCAGUCGACUUAAAGCCACUCUUUUCUGGGAAGCUGGAAUAAUAGCUUCUGUUAAAGACUGUGCAGCCUUAUUGAACUCAACCUACACAAGCAAGUACAAGUAUUAGAUAGCUGCAAAUAUCAAGCUGCUGCAAACCUGCAGUACAGGUACCUCGUAUUUUUUGACAUGUGAAAAUCUAUCUCUACGGAAGAAAGUAGCACAGCCAUCAAUGGCAUUAGGAACUCCAGCAUACACCUGUGACAACAGUAAAGUAAAAUCAAACAAGAGACAAAAGGUAUUAAACCAAAAUAUGAAGGAAAAAAUCAACCCAAAGAUACCUCUGUUGUCCGUUUCUUGUAAAGCGCCUGAUACCCAUGUUUAUCAAACUCAGGAGCAAAAAAAUCCUCAAAGUGGUUCAAUUGUACCUGAAAACAGUAGGACUUGGCUUAAUUCCCUCCUGUUACAAUCUUCGGUCACUCUUCGUUUUUAUUGUAAGCCGCUUCAGUAAACUCUUCAUAAUAUAUAUGCAGACAAUAUUCGUGAAAGUUUAAACAGCAAGCAAACUAUCAUAAAUUCAUAAUCCAACAUCACUGAAAAGUGAAAACAAUCAAACAAAGUGAUGGCACAAAUAUGGAAACGAACAGCCCAGCAGUAUAUGAAAGAUUGUAGGUUGAUGAACAGGGUUCCGGCAUUAAAGUUUACCGAGUCGCAAAAAUUAUAUGAUCAACCAAAUGAGACAUGCUCGGUUCCUAAAACAAAUAUAUGAGAUGAAAAGCUGAAAAUAGGUCACCAAAAUAAAUAAAUUCAGAAGAUAGCAAACAUAUGAUACCUCCUGAAGACAUAUAAUAUCAGCAUGAUAACCAAUAAUUUCGCGCAUCAAAUUUUGUCUUCUGUAAGUCCAUGAAAGUGCCCACGUUGGGCAGUAGCUAUAUGCAUCAGAUGUAGCAUAUGCAUCAGCAAGAAUAUUAUAGGACAGCACCGUGAAUGUCCCAAAAGAAGAAGUCUGGCUGUCUAUAUCUGAGUGACCCAAAACAUCUCCAUUCACUUGGAUAAGGCGGCGUGGAGUAGGAGUUGGUGCUGGAAUCACACGUGAUGUCAUAAUUGAAGUUGGAGACCCCGCAGGUACUUUCUUUUCCGUAUCCACCGCUGCACAUUCAAAUCUUAGAACAUGCCCAAUAUCAUCAGCAGUUGGUGUAUACGUCUGCGAGCGUCCCACUUCAAACCAUGUUUCACCCGAGUUCUUAUCAGUGCCUGAGGGAUACAAGGGAACAGGUCCAUUAUUAACUCCAGGGCUCUGUCCAAGAUUUGACAUUGAGCCAGACCCAGAACUUAGAAUCCCAGAACUACCGCUGCCAAAUCUACCAAAUAGCUCCUCCUCUUCAGCUCCAUUUUCAUUUAAAGCACUACUAGCUCGCUCAUGCAAAACCCUGUGGUGCUGCCAUGCAUCAGAGAAGCACUUAGCAGAACAAUGGUAGCUCUUAGCAGCAGGUAUUUUUGACUUGAGACAACCUAAGCACUGAAUUGUUGCUUGCUCCAUCGGAUGUACACUGCAGAUAGUAACUUUUCGAUCACUCUGUAUGCGAUACCUUCGAGCGAAAAGUCAAAUCAGUAUAACCAUGUGCUACUAGAUACAGAAAAAGUUUAGAAGAACAUGAUUGAAUAUAGUAACUACAAGAAAGGACACCUAAAUUGCCAAUGUUUUAGCAUGUAUGAGAUCCAGGAAAACUUGCUAUCAGCAUCUUGGAAGUCCAUUAUUCAGAGACAUUAGACUCACAACACUUCCAUUAUAAGCAUAGUAUGAAUAAGGCAAAAUGAAGCAGGUUGCCAAGAUGUCGCAAAAAAAAAGAAGCAAAUUACAAGUUUGCUUGUCAUGAGUUGCUGCUGCUGUUGUUUUUUCUUGAUUUUAGUCCCUCAACCGGCUAACUCGUGAUCAUUCAUCUCUUGCUUUCUUUACCAGAUCAACCAUGCAACUGAUUUCUUUAGCGGACCAGGCAAUAUAUGUAAUAAGCAAAAUUCUACAGUUUAGAUCAGAGAUUCAGAGGACUAUUGCAGGCUCUCAUAUAUCAUCAUUAGGGCAUGACGACCAGACAAGGAAGUUGCUGUGUAUAUUAUUAUUCCUAGAAGAAAAACAUUUAAGUACUGUUCAAGGAGGCGACCAACUAUAGCCCAGUGCCCACCCCAUCAAUCGAUUAGUGUCUUUCAGAACACUUCAUUUCAACAAUGUGUCUAUAAAUGGCCACACUUACUAUACUCAAACCUCAAACCUUAAAAGUGAAUAAAGAUGCACAUAUCACAUGAGAUUCUAUCAAGCUAAUGACUGAAAAGCAACACAAUGAAAAUAUAAAAAACUAUAGAAUUGAAGGACCAAAACCAAUGAAACUGCAUGAGUGUUAGUGGGACCAAGCACCACCAUUUCGAAAAGUUCUAAGGUCUAAAGUCUCAGCAAUAAAUGCUAUUUAAACCUACAUGACAUUAAAAAAACGGAUGUGAUAAAACAAAUAAAUAUUCACGAACAUGAUCAAUCAUUCAGAGCGGGAUUCUAAAAUUGAUCACUGAAAUUGUUCGGCCACCCAGCUAUUAGUGAUUAUACAGCCGAGCUAGCUCAUUGCAGUGGGUGGCAUAACCAGCGGUUACAAGUUCUUUUCUCUCAUAUUUGCCUCUCCAUUUUUCAUUUUUUUAUUUCCAAAUAGAUCUACAAUGUUAUUUGAAUUUUAAAAAUAAUAGGUAGGGCACUCCUUACAUACAUGACCUCCUAGGCCAUUUAAAACAAAUAUGCAUUGUUUGGGGUUUUUUAUAUAACAUAAAGUAAGUUAACUAUGACACACUGCCAAAAUAUUUUUGCAUAAAAAACAUUAAAUUUGAUAUAGCACAGAAAGAACGUGGAUAUCCAGCAAGAGAUUAAAGAAGGCAAAGUGGGGCAGGCAGUCAGCAAAACAAAACUAGUGGAUCACGAGUUUCAAACUUUUACUAGCUUUAAGCAACUGAAAUAACUUGCCACUGAACCUAGUGAGCCAACAACUCUAACGUGUAAUAGCAAACAAGUAAUAAUUCUUUUGAAGCUCCAGAAUAAUCAAAACUGAGUCUAGAAUCAAGCUAGAAUGCCCAUUUGAGUUCACUGGUGAUGUUAGAGUGAUACUUAGUUCAAGGAGUAUAUCCAGAUACCCCAAUCAAAAAAAUCAUCUGAAGCCAUGCGAACAAACUGAUGGCACUUCUAGAAUAGUGUCUUUCCACAAAAUUAGUUAGAUAAGCCUAUGUAAUCCCAAAAUUUAUAAAAUGCUCCCGUUCCAUCCAAGAUGAACGUAAACAUUCCUGCACAACGAUUGGCAACAAUCCUCAACCCAACAGCCUUCAUCACCAUCCUAUGAUGCUAUCUAACACUCAAUAGUUCUAGCAAAACCAAAAUCAGAUGGUCUGUUUUGCUCAAUGAAUUACUUAUUAUCAUUACCAACCCGUGUGGCAGGUUGAUAUGGCAUAGACUAAAUAGUAUGAUUCAUAAACAGGCUUAAAAUAAUGCAAUACUGAGUUCUUUACCAAAUCAAGCAUUGGCAUUUCAUGUUCCCUGGGUUUCCAUUCGUUCCAAAAACAAACAACUGUCUUGCUAGAGAAAAUCAUGCUCAGAAUUCAUAUAGUUGUGCUUCAUUUAUGCAAGAAUCAAGACGAUUCAUGAGUUUAGCAAGUAGUUAAGCAUCUAGCAAACUGAUUGAUACUUAAAGCCCCCAUUUUCUUUUUUUCUUUUUUGUCAAAAUUCACUUGUAGCAACGCACAAGCGGAACUAAGCAUUCGAAAGUGUAUAUCCUAUUGAACCAAAAGUUGCAAUCACGAGCUGCUCACUCACCAUCUGUAUCGCAUGAAGUGGCCAUCAACAGGCGCGGCCUCAGGCACGUCGUCGGUGGAGAUUACACCGUUGGGCAGCCGCAGCAGCACGUACGGGGUGAUUUCGCACCCCACGAUCGGGAUCUCCGACGGCAGGUGCACCCGCACC
RNAcentral lists this long non-coding RNA (27998 nucleotides) under Brachypodium distachyon (stiff brome). RNAcentral describes it as "long non-coding RNA (BDIS_LNC003394)". Lineage: Eukaryota; Viridiplantae; Streptophyta; Magnoliopsida; Poales; Poaceae. The record is from RNAcentral.